RNAcentral lists this ribosomal RNA (33 nucleotides) under Dendrobium aphyllum. RNAcentral describes it as "partial 26S ribosomal RNA". RNAcentral also lists the same sequence under 9 other names. The record is from RNAcentral. Lineage: Eukaryota; Viridiplantae; Streptophyta; Magnoliopsida; Asparagales; Orchidaceae.
GCGACCCCAGGAUGGGCGAGGCCACCCGCCGAG